GAAUGAAUCAAAAUGUAGUUUUGAUCUAUUAUUGUGGAGAGAAAAAGAAAGUGGGGAUAAUUAGGGCCAUGCUGUCAGAGAGCCAAAAGUAGGUAACAUUUGCUUUCAGGGGGUGUCCUAUUGUGCUUUUGGUUUUGCUAGCACAUGCAGUUGUUGUACGUAUUUUGAUUUUUUUCUUACAUCUUUUUAUUCUAGAUCUACAAAGACUGGCUAAAAACAAGGCAGUUGGUUUUCUUUGCUAGAAUGAUUGAUAUACUUUUAUGAUUAGUACUAGAGUUGAUCAACAUUUCUUAUGGUGGUUGGCUGUACAUUAUUUCUUUGGAUUGCUGGAGAGAGACAAAUAAAGCAAAAGUAGGUGGAGAAUCUUAAUCAUAGAAAAAGACAGUCAAAAAUGUUCAUGUACAUUUGGCACAGAUAGGUGUUUGCAUUUUUUUUAACCUCUGAACGGGAAUUUGCAUAUCCAAUUCAUUAGAGUUAUGCAGACCAUAUGAUCAUUAUAUUUAGAUGAACUGUUAGUUCUGCUCAUGUCAACUUUUCUUCCAUAAUUGAUGAUUGUAAUUGAGAUAGAUAAGUGAGGCUACAGGUUUCUGUUCAUUACCUAUGGCAUGAGAUACACAUGAAUGUUUAGGCUUGUCUUUUGGGAAGGAGGAGCCAGUAUUGCUAAUGAAGUCUAGCGACAGGGUCGUAAAGCUGAGAAGCCAACUGAAAAGAAGAUUUUUGUGAAGCCUAAUAGCCAACCAGUUGGAUCUUGAAGAAUUUAAGAAAGGAAAAAACAAGCAUGACCCUGAUCCUCUUUGUAUAGAUUUUGUACAUAAAAAACUCUCUUGUUUUUUUUUUUUUUUUUGCUUUCAGUUUCUAAUAGAUGACUGUUAUCAUUUUUGUAGCAGACUUGGUGAUCACAUGUAUUUCGAAUUUGAGAUAAAUGAAAGUUUGAGAGCAAUCCUGAUUCA
This is a non-coding RNA of Coffea arabica (coffee), 950 nucleotides long. The record is from RefSeq and is a predicted model, not a curated record. Lineage: Eukaryota; Viridiplantae; Streptophyta; Magnoliopsida; Gentianales; Rubiaceae.